GCCCCAGUAGCUCAGUGGAUAGAGCAACGGCCUUCUAAUCCGUCGGUCGCAGGUUCGAAUCCUGCCUGGGGCACCC
RNAcentral lists this transfer RNA (76 nucleotides) under Pseudoclavibacter sp. RFBH5. RNAcentral's name for it is "tRNA-Arg". It matches the Rfam family "tRNA". Rfam says of the family: Transfer RNA (tRNA) molecules are approximately 80 nucleotides in length. Their secondary structure includes four short double-helical elements and three loops (D, anti-codon, and T loops). Further hydrogen bonds mediate the characteristic L-shaped molecular structure. tRNAs have two regions of fundamental functional importance: the anti-codon, which is responsible for specific mRNA codon recognition, and the 3' end, to which the tRNAs corresponding amino acid is attached (by aminoacyl-tRNA synthetases). tRNAs cope with the degeneracy of the genetic code in two manners: having more than one tRNA (with a specific anti-codon) for a particular amino acid; and 'wobble' base-pairing, i.e. permitting non-standard base-pairing at the 3rd anti-codon position. The record is from RNAcentral. RNAcentral also lists the same sequence under 5 other names. Lineage: Bacteria; Bacillati; Actinomycetota; Actinomycetes; Micrococcales; Microbacteriaceae.